This 242-nucleotide ribosomal RNA is filed under the name uncultured Bacteroidota bacterium. RNAcentral describes it as "uncultured Bacteroidetes bacterium partial 16S ribosomal RNA". It matches the Rfam family "Bacterial small subunit ribosomal RNA", at positions 796 to 1041 of the family's 1533-position model. The record is from RNAcentral. Lineage: Bacteria; Pseudomonadati; Bacteroidota.
CACGCUGUAAACGAUGAUUACUCGCUGUUGGCGAUACACAGUCAGCGGCCAAGCGAAAGCGUUAAGUAAUCCACCUGGGGAGUACGAUCGCAAGAUUGAAACUCAAAGGAAUUGACGGGGGCCCGCACAAGCGGAGGAGCAUGUGGUUUAAUUCGAUGAUACGCGAGGAACCUUACCUGGGCUUGAACGUGUGAUGCAAUACCGGGAAACUGGUAGUCCCUUCGGGGCGUCAUGCGAGGUGC